UACGUAGGGGGCGAGCGUUGUUCGGAUUUACUGGGCGUAAAGGGCGCGCAGGCGGCGAUUUUUGUCAGGCGUGAAAGCCCCGGGCUCAACCUGGGAACUGCGCUUGAAGCGGGAUUGCUAGAGAUCGGGAGAGGAGAGUGGAAUUCCCAGUGUAGAGGUGAAGUUCGUAGAUAUUGGGAAGAACACCGGUGGCGAAGGCGGCUCUCUGGACCGAUACUGACGCUGAGGCGCGAAAGCGUGGGGAGCAAACAGG
RNAcentral lists this ribosomal RNA (253 nucleotides) under uncultured bacterium. Its description in RNAcentral is "partial 16S ribosomal RNA". It matches the Rfam family "Bacterial small subunit ribosomal RNA", at positions 524 to 776 of the family's 1533-position model. The record is from RNAcentral.